Molecule: ribosomal RNA, 484 nt
Filed under: uncultured bacterium
Lineage: Bacteria
Description: partial 16S ribosomal RNA
Rfam family: Bacterial small subunit ribosomal RNA
Source: RNAcentral
AUUGAACGCUGGCGGCAGGCCUAACACAUGCAAGUCGAGCGGAUGAAGGGAGCUUGCUCCUGGAUUCAGCGGCGGACGGGUGAGUAAUGCCUAGGAAUCUGCCUGGUAGUGGGGGAUAACGUCCGGAAACGGGCGCUAAUACCGCAUACGUCCUGCGGGAGAAAGUGGGGGAUCUUCGGACCUCACGCUAUCAGAUGAGCCUAGGUCGGAUUAGCUAGUUGGUGGGGUAAAGGCCUACCAAGGCGACGAUCCGUAACUGGUCUGAGAGGAUGAUCAGUCACACUGGAACUGAGACACGGUCCAGACUCCUACGGGAGGCAGCAGUGGGGAAUAUUGGACAAUGGGCGAAAGCCUGAUCCAGCCAUGCCGCGUGUGUGAAGAAGGUCUUCGGAUUGUAAAGCACUUUAAGUUGGGAGGAAGGGCAGUAAGUUAAUACCUUGCUGUUUUGACAUUACCAACAGAAUAAGCACCGGCUAACUUCGUG